GAUGAACGCUAGCUACAGGCUUAACACAUGCAAGUCGAGGGGUAGCACGGAGGAAGCUUGCUUCCUUGGGUGACGACCGGCGCACGGGUGAGUAACGCGUAUCCGACCUACCCAUAACACGGGCACAGCCGCUCGAAAGAGUGAUUGAUUCCCGAUAUGUUAUAUAAGUAGAUUAUAUAAUGAAAGAUUUAUCGGUUAUGGAUGGGGAUGCGUAAGAUUAGGUAGUAGGCGGGGUAACGGCCCACCUAGCCGACGAUCUUUAGGGUUCUGAGAGGAAGGUCCCCCACACUGGUACUGAGACACGGACCAGACUCCUACGGGAGGCAGCAGUGAGGAAUAUUGGUCAAUGGGCGGAAGCCUGAACCAGCCAAGUAGCGUGAAGGAUUACAGCCCUACGGGUUUUAAACUUCUUUUAUAUAAGAGUAAUGUGCACUACGUGUAGUGUAUUGCAAGUAUUAUAUGAAUAAGCAUCGGCUAACUCCGUG
This 485-nucleotide ribosomal RNA is filed under the name uncultured bacterium. Its description in RNAcentral is "bacterial SSU rRNA". It matches the Rfam family "Bacterial small subunit ribosomal RNA", at positions 28 to 507 of the family's 1533-position model. The record is from RNAcentral.